Molecule: ribosomal RNA, 610 nt
Filed under: uncultured bacterium
Lineage: Bacteria
Description: bacterial SSU rRNA
Rfam family: Bacterial small subunit ribosomal RNA
Source: RNAcentral
CCUACGGGAGGCAGCAGUGAGGAAUAUUGGACAAUGGGCGCAAGCCUGAUCCAGCCAUGCCGCGUGCAGGAUGACGGUCCUAUGGAUUGUAAACUGCUUUUGCACAGGAAGAAACAACAUUACGUGUAAUGUCUUGACGGUACUGUGAGAAUAAGGAUCGGCUAACUCCGUGCCAGCAGCCGCGGUAAUACGGAGGAUCCAAGCGUUAUCCGGAAUCAUUGGGUUUAAAGGGUCCGUAGGCGGUUUAGUAAGUCAGUGGUGAAAGCCCAUCGCUCAACGGUGGAACGGCCAUUGAUACUGCUAGACUUGAAUUAUUAGGAAGUAACUAGAAUAUGUAGUGUAGCGGUGAAAUGCUUAGAGAUUACAUGGAAUACCAAUUGCGAAGGCAGGUUACUACUAAUGGAUUGACGCUGAUGGACGAAAGCGUGGGUAGCGAACAGGAUUAGAUACCCUGGUAGUCCACGCCGUAAACGAUGGAUACUAGCUGUUGGGAGCAAUCUCAGUGGCUAAGCGAAAGUGAUAAGUAUCCCACCUGGGGAGUACGUUCGCAAGAAUGAAACCUNAAANGAAUUGACGNNGAGAGAGCGAGGACGACGACGAGGGGAGGAGG